This 717-nucleotide ribosomal RNA is filed under the name Bacillus safensis. RNAcentral's name for it is "bacterial SSU rRNA". It matches the Rfam family "Bacterial small subunit ribosomal RNA", at positions 112 to 815 of the family's 1533-position model. The record is from RNAcentral. Lineage: Bacteria; Bacillati; Bacillota; Bacilli; Caryophanales; Bacillaceae.
AACACGUGGGUAACCUGCCUGUAAGACUGGGAUAACUCCGGGAAACCGGAGCUAAUACCGGAUAGUUCCUUGAACCGCAUGGUUCAAGGAUGAAAGACGGUUUCGGCUGUCACUUACAGAUGGACCCGCGGCGCAUUAGCUAGUUGGUGGGGUAAUGGCUCACCAAGGCGACGAUGCGUAGCCGACCUGAGAGGGUGAUCGGCCACACUGGGACUGAGACACGGCCCAGACUCCUACGGGAGGCAGCAGUAGGGAAUCUUCCGCAAUGGACGAAAGUCUGACGGAGCAACGCCGCGUGAGUGAUGAAGGUUUUCGGAUCGUAAAGCUCUGUUGUUAGGGAAGAACAAGUGCGAGAGUAACUGCUCGCACCUUGACGGUACCUAACCAGAAAGCCACGGCUAACUACGUGCCAGCAGCCGCGGUAAUACGUAGGUGGCAAGCGUUGUCCGGAAUUAUUGGGCGUAAAGGGCUCGCAGGCGGUUUCUUAAGUCUGAUGUGAAAGCCCCCGGCUCAACCGGGGAGGGUCAUUGGAAACUGGGAAACUUGAGUGCAGAAGAGGAGAGUGGAAUUCCACGUGUAGCGGUGAAAUGCGUAGAGAUGUGGAGGAACACCAGUGGCGAAGGCGACUCUCUGGUCUGUAACUGACGCUGAGGAGCGAAAGCGUGGGGAGCGAACAGGAUUAGAUACCCUGGUAGUCCACGCCGUAAACGAUGAGUG